GCCGAACCGUGCGAACGUUGUUCGUCCUCCCUUUUCUUCAAGGGCGCGUAGGCGGGCUGCCAAGUCUGGGGUGAAAUCCCACGGCUCAACCGUGGAACUGCCUCGGAUACUGGCGACCUCGAGGGGGGUAGGGGCGUGCGGAACUGUGGGUGGAGCGGUGAAAUGCGUUGAUAUCCACAGGAACUCCGGUGGCGAAAGCGGCACGCUGGACCUCUUCUGACGCUGAGGCGCGAAAGCCAGGGGAGCAAACGGG
Molecule: ribosomal RNA, 253 nt
Filed under: uncultured prokaryote
Description: partial 16S ribosomal RNA
Rfam family: Bacterial small subunit ribosomal RNA
Source: RNAcentral